GAGCAAGCCUCCGAUAUUUUGGUCCCCUGAACCCACCUUUUAAAUGCUUAUUCUGUCUCUUUCUAACUCCUUUGUCUCCAUCGGAUUUGGAGUACCCACUGGGUGGUGUGGGGCUGGUUUCCCCAACAUCUGGCGCCCAACAUGGGGCUCCCCGUAAUCUCUACAAAUAAUCUGGUGAAGAAACGCCAGAGCGUGGAAAGUGGAGGAUGACUGACAAAGGUUGCCCGAGUACAUUUUCACUUCAGGCUCUAUGAGAGAGAAUCAGCUUCCUGUCUGGGUACCCACAAGACAUCUUAAGCUGUGCCAUGAGCCAGAAUCCAAAGAAGAGGAAAAGACCUCGGAACAUCCCUGCACCCCCAGUUCAUCAGAUGGCUCAGAUGAACAUCUCUGUUGAGCAGAUGGAAACCAGUAAAACUCGCCAAGCAACUCCACUGACCUGGGGGCAGAUGAAGAGACUAGCUCACAUUGCAAAAGAGAAUCUGAGGUCUUAGAACAAGCCACUGAGCACCAGUAAUCUAAUGAUGGUUGCUCAGCUCAGAAAUCUUAGAGAAAUUCUGAUGCCUCUCCUCACAUUUGCUCUGUCAGCAAAUCCUGGUGUCACAGGAGGGCUCAGGAGGGUUUCUGGAUGCCAGUGAGACCCCAGCCACAGCUUCUUGUCAAGAAUCCCCAGAUUCUUGACAUCAUCACAAGAAAGAAUUCACAGAUGGUGCACAAGAAGGCUCUCGCCAGAUGCUGGUCUUGUGAUCUUGGACUUCCCAGCCUCCAGAACUUUCCACUGCACCUCUGAAAGUACUCAGCUGUGCUCCAAACCUGGAGAAUGCCACAUUUCUCCAGACUGCAAGAAACAGUGUGGAUGACUCAGUGGAGAUCAUAAUGACAUCUGGGUGAUCAACCACAGCCUCCAGUUGCCACUUGGUGAGAGAACAAAGGAAUUGGGGCAUGCUCAGCUAUGGCUGCAAGCCCUUCAAGUGAAGCUGGGCACUUAGCCCCUUCAUUCCAUUCUCCUCAGGAUAACAGAUUAAAAUUCCAGAAGUGUGCACCUGUUGUGUAUUCAGGAGAUUGUUUUUGUGCAUAAAGAGACCACUUGAGGCCCUGUAAGCAAAGACUAAUGGGGCUGAGUCAAAAUCUGGGAAUUCGAGGAACUAACAUACUCAAAUGAAAAUGAUUUGUGGGCAAGUACGAAUAGAAUAAAUGCCUUGGGGUUGUGAUGACAUUGCAGUUAGUGCUUUCUUGUCCUUCAGGGUCUGCUGCCAAAACAAAGCUUUUCCAGAGGGUAUUUUUAUGAGACUACAAGUUCUCGAAUGCAGGUGAAAGAGGGAGACAUCAUCACAUUGUCUUGGCACAGGGUUUGACUACUAAAAACAAGACUCAUAAUAAUAAUGGAUUUAGCAAGAUAAGAGUUUGUUUCUCUCUCACGUGAGUUUUCCAGCUAGUGUGGCAACUCAUUCUGUGAAGUCAUCAGGGGUGCAGGCUUCUCUCACCUUGGUGCUCUGCCAUCCCCAAGAUGCUGCCCCCAUCUGCAAGCACCAAGAUGGCACCCCACUGUGUCCACAUUCUAGACAUUAGGAUUGGGGAAAAGAGGAAGGGAGGGUAUGCCUCUCUUAAGGGCACAGUACAGAAGUUGCUCACAUCUCAUUGGUCAAAACUUAGUCACCUGGCCACACAAACUCAUAUCUGGGCUUUAUUCUAGGCAGCCCUGUGCCCAGCUAAAAAUUGAGGCCCUGGCUCCUGUUGAACAGGGUUUCUCAACUUGAGCACUACUGGUAUUUUGGGCCAGAUAAUUAUUUAUUGCAGGGGGCCGCCCUGUUCAUUGUAGCAUAUUUAGGAGCAUCUCUGGCCUUCACCUACAAGAUGCCAGUAGCAUCCCUCCAUCAAGUUGUGACAACCAAAUAUCUCCAGACUUUGCCAAAUGUACCCUUGGAGACAAAAUUGUCUC
RNAcentral lists this long non-coding RNA (1936 nucleotides) under Pongo abelii (Sumatran orangutan). RNAcentral describes it as "lincRNA". Lineage: Eukaryota; Metazoa; Chordata; Mammalia; Primates; Hominidae. The record is from RNAcentral.